ACCGCCCAAGUUCAGUCAAACACUCUUAACUCACGUUGAUUUUCAGCCCACACACAACUCACACACACUAACACCUAAAACACACACACCAUUCACGCAUAUACCAUUUUUAGCUUGAGCUCAAGCUUUUGAGCUCCGAUUUGAGCACCGAGAUGAACGCCGAUCAUCUUUUCGAUCACGUAUCUAAGUAGGUCCUUUUGGGAAGUAACGACUUGAGGGAGAGAGUGACGUUACUCAUUGAUACAGAGACACAACGAGGUUGAGCUGAUGUGAUGAUGGUGCUGCAAUGAGCGGAGUCUCCAGGGUUGUUAAUAAAUAGUUAACCUGUCUAGAAUAUGUCUUCAUACAUAUGUCUAGCUACUUUCCGCUGCAAGAUGUUGUUGAUGUUAUAGUAUGUUAUGUCAUACUUUGAGUCUUAAGAGAAUGGUUUCAUACGAUGUAUAACUUGAUUAAUGAUAUUAAUUAAGUUUUAUGCUGUCUUUCAUAGACUGUUUUCAAUUGAGUAUUAAUGAAUAAAAAUGACGAGUUUUAUUAA
Molecule: long non-coding RNA, 535 nt
Organism: Salvia miltiorrhiza (redroot sage)
Lineage: Eukaryota; Viridiplantae; Streptophyta; Magnoliopsida; Lamiales; Lamiaceae
Exons: 3
Source: RefSeq, a predicted model, not a curated record